Molecule: unclassified non-coding RNA, 329 nt
Filed under: soil metagenome
Description: partial contains 5.8S ribosomal RNA, internal transcribed spacer 2, and large subunit ribosomal RNA
Rfam family: 5.8S ribosomal RNA (bases 1-120)
Source: RNAcentral
GAUGAAGAACGUAGUGAAAUGCGAUAAGUAGUGUGAAUUGCAGAAUUCAGUGAAUCAUCGAAUCUUUGAACGCACAUUGCGCCCCUUGGUAUCCCGAGGGGCAUGCCUGUUCGAGCGUCAUUUCACCACUCAAGCCUGGCUUGGUGUUGGGCGACGUCCCCUUUGGGGACGCGCCUCGAAACGCUCGGCGGCGUGGCACCGGCUUUAAGCGUAGCAGAAUCUUUCGCUUUGGAAGUCGGGGCCCCGUCUGCCGGAAGACCUACUCGCAAGGUUGACCUCGGAUCAGGCAGGGAUACACGCUGAACUUAAGCAUAUCAAUAAGCGGAGGA